GAUGAACGCUGGCGGCGUGCCUAAUACAUGCAAGUCGAGCGGACGGACGAGAAGCUUUCUUUUCUGACUUUCGCGGCGGACGGGUGUGUAACACGUGGAUAACCCACCUAUAAGACUGGGAUAACUUCGGGAAACCGGAGCUUAUACCGGCUAAUCUUUUGAACCGCAUGGUUCAAAAGUGAAAGACGGCCUUGCUGUCACUUAUCGCUGGAUCCGCGCUGCAUUAGCUAGUUGGUAAGGUAACGGCUUACCAAGGCAACGAUGCAUAGCCGACCUGAGAGGGUGAUCAGCCACACUGGAACUGAGACAUGGUCCAGACUCCUACGGGAGGCAGCAGUAGGGAAUCUUCCGCAAUGGGCGAAAGCCUGACGGAGCAACGCCGCGUGAGUGAUGAAGGUCUUCGGAUCGUAAAACUCUGUUAGUAGGGAAGAACAUAUGUGUAAGUAACUGUGCACAUCUUGACGGUACCUAAUCAGAAAGCCACGGCUAACUACGUG
This 497-nucleotide ribosomal RNA is filed under the name uncultured bacterium. RNAcentral's name for it is "partial 16S ribosomal RNA". It matches the Rfam family "Bacterial small subunit ribosomal RNA", at positions 28 to 507 of the family's 1533-position model. The record is from RNAcentral.